GUUUAAGGCAAGUAAACUUCAUAAUUUCAUGUUAUCAGUUGUUGUUUUUUUACUAAGAGUAAAAUAAUGUUUGUUUUUUGUUUUUGUAGAUGUUAAAAGCAAGAGACAUGGGAGAUCAUCAUUCCCUUGAGAUUUUAUAAAUCAAACCAAGUUUGGAGUUGUCUGAUUUGGAGAGUCAUUAUUCUUGGUCUGCGCUCUUAGAGGCCACUGAUGAAGAGCAGGCGGUGACUGGGAUGAAUGCUGGUCAGAGAGGAGAAUAUUCUUUCCCCUAAACUGAUGCAGCGGUGGUUUUAAAGGAGGACGCUGCCCUGGAUGAUGUAGAUGUCACAUGCUGUGCUGAUGGGGUUUCUUCAUGAUUACAUCAGUUAUGCUAAAGAGAUCAUGAAAAUUGACCGUGAUGCAUGAUCUGUAUUCAUGGACUAUGAAACAAACUGUAAGUGUAUAAUUUGUUAAAAAAAAAAAAGUUAAAUGCUUUUUCUGUGUUGUUUAGUAGAAAAGUUUACACUCUGUCAUUCAUACACCUGCUCACAUUCUUUCACACACACACAUGCGUCUGUAAAGGUUAUAAUAUCAAAGUUAAUGUUGUGAUUUAUUUGUGUACUGUCAUGCCAGAAUAGUUGGAAAAAAAACUAACUAAUUGUAAAUUUAUUGUAUGUGUUUUCGUAUAUUUUUAUACAAUAUAUACAAUUGAACAAAGCCCAAUUUGAUCUUAAGUUAUAUUCAUCAAAUGUUCAAUGCUUUGUUUAUGAACUCUGUAGCUGUUAAUGCCAUCCUUUUCUGCAUUUCUUC
Molecule: long non-coding RNA, 789 nt
Organism: Carassius gibelio (silver crucian carp)
Lineage: Eukaryota; Metazoa; Chordata; Actinopteri; Cypriniformes; Cyprinidae
Exons: 3
Source: RefSeq, a predicted model, not a curated record